ACGCGCGGGCGCACUGCGGGGGCCAAGGAAGGAAGAAAUGUGGUCGCGGUUGGUGUGGCUGGGCCUUCGGGCCCCUCUGGGCGGGCGCCAGGGCUUCACCUCCAAGGCGGAUCCUCAGGGCAGUGGCCGGAUCACGGCUGCGGUGAUCGAGCACCUGGAGCGUCUAGCGCUUGUGGACUUCGGCAGCCGCGAGGCAGUGGCGCGACUGGAGAAAGCUAUCGCCUUCGCCGACCGGCUACGCGCCGUGGACACAGACGGGGUGGAGCCCAUGGAAUCGGUCCUGGAGGACAGGUUGGAGUGCAGUGGUGUGAUCUCCGCUCACUACAAACUCUGCUUCCUACAUUCAAGUGAUUCUUGUGCCUCAGCCUCCCAGGUAGCUGGGAUUACAGAUGUCUAUACCUGAGAUCCGACAAUGUGGUAGAAGGCAACUGUGCUGAUGAAUUACUACAAAACUCCCAUCGCGUCGUGGAGGAGUACUUUGUGGCCCCCCCAGGUAAUAUCUCUUUGCCAAAGCUGGAUGAACAAGAGCCAUUCCCACACAGCUGAGUAGCUCAUUCUGGAAAGGGGGUACUCUGUGAACAUGUGGAAGCAUAAUGACAGUAUUUUUUUACUGUGAAUACUAAUGUUCCUGCUUUUUUCAGUCCCCUGAAAAAAUGGAUGCUCAAGCAUUUCUUAAUAACAGAUUCUUCUGAAGACAGAAUUGGGAAAGAUCUGGCCCCAACAAGGCAGUGAGUUCCUGAUGCUAACUGAGGUGAAAGAAAAGCAAAAGUCAGCUUCCAAGGAAUUCACUUAACAGGCCUGUUCAGUAUGGAAGACAUUAUUUAUCUGCCUUUAACUCCCCCCAAAGGACCAUACCAACUGCAUGAAAGUGAACUUUUCUAUCUACGUAACUGGUAGACGGAGCAUCUUGAUCACUAUGUGACAACCUUGGCUGUCAUUUUUAGUUGCCAUUUGCAUUGAUUUGAGCAGCCCUAUCUUUACCGAACAUACCUGAAUUUGUUCCUGGGCUCCCACUUUCUUCCCAGAAGAGGGCUAACUUCCUACUAAGGUCUGAAGAGUGUUGAAAGUAGACUAGAGCUUGGGAACUCCUAACCUAGAACUAUCUGCCAUCCCACAAAGUGAUUAUAUGCCAAAGGGAUACUAGUCAUACCUAGUGUUUCUCUUUCUGAAAAGAGAACUUAUCCUAAAAUUAGCCCUGGGCCUGGGACAAAGGAGCCCUCUCCGCCCCCAAAAUGAUUAUUAAAUUGAGAUGAGUCCAGGAUAAAACUCAGAUACCAAGGAUAAAUGAAACUUAUUUAGGGAUAAAAGUGGGCUGGGCGCAGUGGCUCACUCCUGUAAUCCCAGCACUUUGGGAGGCUGAGACGGGCGGAUCACAAGGUCAGGAGAUCAAGACCAUCCUGGCUAAUGCGGUGAAACCUCAUCUCUACUAAAAAUACAAAAAAUUAGCUGGGUGUGAUGACAGGUGCCUGUAGUCCCAGCUACUCGGGAGGCUGAGGCAGGAGAAUGGCGUGAACCCGGGAGACGGAGCUUGCAGUAAGCCGAGAUCGCACCACUGCACUCCAGCCUGGGCGACAGAGCAAGUCUCAAAAAAAAAAAAAAAGUGAUAGAAUCAGAGAGUUUUUCCUCUAACCAAACUGCCAAAGUUGGUUUUGGCUAAGAAUUUCCCAAUAAUAUUUAUGCUGCUGCUCAUUUUUUUAGUUUUCUGAGACAGGGGUCUCCCUCUGUCACCCAGGCUGGAGUGCAGUGGUGACAGAUCACUGCAGCCUCCAACUCCUGGGCUCAAGUGAUCCUCCCACCUCAGCCUCCUAAGUAACUGGGACUACAUAUGUGCAUCACCACGUCCAGUUAAUUUUUUUUUAAGUAGAGGUGGGGGUUUUGCUAUGUUGCCUAUCUGGUCGUGAACUCCUGGCCUCAAGGGAUCCUCUGGCAUGCCUUGGCCUCCCAAAGGGCUAGGAUCACAGGCAAAAGCCACCGUGUGUUUAUUUUUCCCAUUCCCUUCCUUUAUCUGCAAUGCUUUUUUCUUUAAGGCAGCCUAAUUUACAAGCUUGGCCUUGAAUUAAAAGAGAACCCAGAACCCGCUCUUGGAGUUUACGUUCUCAAACCAACAUCAGAGCAACUGUCUAUCCCCAUAUAAAUAAAGUUAUCUACCCCUGCUCCUAACUGGGUACAAGUUAUGACUACAACUCAGUGAUUUUUUAAAUUAGUGUGCCUAUUUGGUGAAAUCUGUGAACUUAAUCAAGGACAACCACACAUGUCAAUUACUAAACAUUUAAAAUAUAUUUCUAAACAGAAUGGGCCGACUCAGUCACAGUAACUGUUGAUCUCCAUAGUAGAGCAACCCACAAAGACAGAACUGAUUUUUUUCCCAUAAUCAGGGGUGAAAAAUAUACAACUUGUUUCUGAACCAAAACCACAAUUUCUGCAGUUUAAAAUGUUUCACUGCUAAUAUGGCCCUGGUAGAAAUUAUGUAGUUUUUUUUCUUCUUUAAAAAAAAAAAAUUAAAAAAAUUUCCUAAGACACUAAAUCCUCAAUCUGGAAUGUAGAUUCUGAGCACAAAGCAGCUCAGUUAACCUAAAAAAUAAAGAAAAAAUUCCCAUCACCUGUCUCAGUAGGGCCUGAAAGGAGAGAAGUAGUGUGGGGAACCCCUGCUUUGGUAUGGAGAGUCACGGCCCCUUGACCCAGACCGAGACCGUGAGUAGCCAUAGCUGGUGCUUCUCUCAGGAUAAACUCGGAUGUAGGAAGUUUCACCCUGAAAUGCAAACAAAAACAAAAAGAGUAAAGGGGAAAAAAAUCAGAGCCAGAAGAAUAAGCAAACCAACAUCUAACAAUAAUAGUUAAGUAUUGAGCACUUACUGUGUACUCUGUGCCUGGCAUGAGGCUAUCUCAUUAAACCUUCAUAACAUUAUGAGGUAGGUACUCUUACUAUCCCAUUUCAAGAAUGAAGAAAAUUAAGACUUAAGUUAUAUCAUUUGCCCAAGGUAACACAAUAAAUGCCAAUUUGACAUGUUGAUACUCAAUUAACUAUGAUAAACAAUAUAUCUGAAUUACUGCCAUUGACCCCCCUCAAAGCUAAGAACUGGAAAGGAUCUCAGGGGUCAUAUAGUUUAAUCCCCUGCCACCUCAUGUAUGCAUCUUUGGAUGGGCAUCUAUGGAAGGAGCUAGCCUGUAUUUAAUACCUUCCAGAUGUGAGGACCUGAGCUAGAUGCUUUAGACGUUAUCCUCUUGCUCUAGAUUCCUGGCAAGUCUUGUGAUGGUGCUAUUAUGUGACCAUUUUGCCCAUGAAGGAAUCGAGGUCCCAAGAGUAGUUCAGGUAAGGAAUUAAUAAGCAGCAGAGGAGUCAUGUCCAGGCUGGCUUGUCCCCAGGCCCUCUGCCUUCAGCCACCAUUCUCAGAAGAUCCAAAGAUGCCAAGGGGAAAGAAGCCGGAUGCUUUUUCACCUUAGGUGAAAGUCAGUAAUUGGAGUUACCCUUUCUGAGGCCCUGCUUUGCAGUAUAACUGAGGAUCAGGUGCUGUUCUGUUUCUGCUUCAAAUUCAAGUCCUAGAGGACAGUCUGAACAAAAGCAUCAUUAAACCAGGGAAGGACCAACCUCUAAGCCAAAAACUAGGCAAUUAUAUGAAUCCUCAGAAAAAGAAAUGAGCCCAGAGACCUGUGUCCCCAAACAUCCGUAAAUCUCAUAGUAAGGCAGGACAGGAUAACCAGAAAAAAACAAUGUCCAACUGGUCUGGUUUCUGGUCUCAAUGGUACCAAAGGGAUAGUCACCACCUCAAUCAAACUGAGAUCCAAAACAGCAGCUGCUUUCCUACAAGGAAAGACAUCAAGAACUACUGAGUCUGAAGGGUGACAUAAUCAACCACAAGAAAAUGUUACGGUUUAGCCUGGCACAGUGGUGCAUGCCUGCAGUCCCAACUACUGGAGAGGCUGAGGUGGGAGGACUGCUUGGGCCCAGGAGUUCAAGGUCAGCCUCGGCAAUAUAAUGAGACUGUCUCUAAAAUCAAAAAUUAGAGAAAUAUAAAAAUUAUAAAAUUAAAAAAGAAAAUGUCAUGAUAGCUCAGGUUUCAGAGAGGAUGCUGCACUACUCUGGGAAAAAAGUGAAGUGACAGCUCAGCCCUGACAGCAGGACCUAGAAGGGCUGAGAUGAAGAGGCUGACCUGUAGAGCUCAGCCUGGACCCACAGGAGGGGUAGUUGAGUUCACAGAGGGAUACUGCCAUUUAAGCUGGUUGUGAAUGGGGUGGUAUGAAGACCGACUGCACUAGUAUUCUCUCCAGGUUACAAAUACCAUGACCAAACUGUGUAAUGUGAUACUAAUAUGCAGAAUAAAGCAUAUUAAAAAACAAA
This is an RNA transcript of Homo sapiens (human), 4336 nucleotides long. It is a transcript of the gene named glutamyl-tRNA amidotransferase subunit C, with no coding region annotated. The transcript has 5 exons. The record is from RefSeq and is marked validated. NCBI's taxonomy places the organism in Eukaryota, Metazoa, Chordata, Mammalia, Primates, Hominidae.